UCCUGAAGGAACGUUGAAGACGACGACGUUGAUAGGUCGGGUGUGUAAGCGUAGCGAUACGUUGAGCUAACCGAUACUAAUGAACCGUGAGGCUUAACCUU
This 101-nucleotide ribosomal RNA is filed under the name Klebsiella ornithinolytica. Its description in RNAcentral is "Raoultella ornithinolytica partial 23S ribosomal RNA". It matches the Rfam family "Bacterial large subunit ribosomal RNA", at positions 2825 to 2925 of the family's 2925-position model. Lineage: Bacteria; Pseudomonadati; Pseudomonadota; Gammaproteobacteria; Enterobacterales; Enterobacteriaceae. The record is from RNAcentral.